CUUAUAUCUGCUUCCAAGACUGCUACAAUUACCUGAAGCAAGAAACGAGCACUCUAAACUAAGGUAGACUAUGGGAAGACCUUUAGAAGUUCUCAGUGACCUCCCACCUAGCUCUCUAAACCUAUUUCUCUCAUUCCAAACCCUCGCUAUUCUAUUCCUCUUCCUCAUCUGUACUGAGAAACUGCGGUCAGCACCUCAGGGUGGCUACAUAAUUUGUGGGGCCCAGGGUAAACGAAAAUGCAAGGCUCCUUGUUCAAAAAUUACCAAGAAUUCCAAGACGGCAACAGCAGAGCGUUAAACCAAGUCCAGGGUGGUUCUGAGCACGGGGCCGUGGGCAGCUGCACAGCUUCACACCCACGACGUCAGCGUUCUGUGUCCGCGUUUCCGCGUUCGGCCUUGCAGACUUCUGAGGACGCCAUCGCGGAUCCUGAUUCCCAGACACUGCCAAGAGCUCAUUUUCGUUUCUCCCAUGGUGACAUCAUCUUGUGUCCUCCCUGUUGGUGGUAGCCGGUUCUCCUCGUUGUUUAGCUAACUUUCCACCUUCUCUGAAACUCUGCAGCAACCGUCCCUCCCCAGCCUUUUUCCUAAACGUGUAUCUGGAAUCCACUGAAGACGGUAGGUAAGUUCAGAGUGUAUGCCCUCGAGACAGGGUUUUUCCCUGUUCUUUAUCGUUCUACUAAAAGCAGAAGAGUCAUCUCUACGUCACUGAAAGAGAGCAUCCGUGGUGGCCGUGACAAAGAGAGUUUCAUCCGUAGCCAAGAGGGGCAUUGGGGACCGCAGUUUCGGCAAAGGAGAAAGGAGAAACCCCAGGGAGCAUCAUGGUAACGCCAUGUCUGUGAGGCUGGGCUGAUGCCAUGGCUGUGGUCUGGAAACAGGACUGGAGGACCUCAAGUGGCCCUUCUGGGACUUAGGUUGAAGGGAGCAGUGCGGACAGUUGAGCACCGGGACGCGGCAGUGAGAGAGAGGGAGGCCUUGUCUGUGGACCAUUUAGGGUUUCUGGGGGAAGCUAUUUGGGGCCAGCACUUUCCUAGGUAGUUUGCAAAAUGGGGGCUUAAGAGAACAUUACCCUCUGCCCAGAACAACUAAGGAGUCACAUUUGGAUGGAAUACCAACCUGUGAGAGCCCGGAAGGAAGAGAGACCUUCAGAGUUUGGGACCCAGCUGGUCACCAAGUGAACAGAAUGAGCAGCGAAGCUCCCUUUGAACCUCCUCAGAGUCAUCUUUUACCACAAAAAGGUGUACAAACUCGUCAUGAAAAAAUACUUAAUCAAUAGACUCUUCUCUGUCUUUUAAGUCUGUUUUUCUGAAUCUCAUUCAGAAACUGCAAAGUUGGUGUAUUUUUCCUGGGUCAUAAUCGAUCUGGUUUUGCUAACUUUAGCAAAUGUUGUUUUGUACAGAAAUCAGUCCAGCAUGUCUAGUCC
Molecule: long non-coding RNA, 1420 nt
Filed under: Equus caballus (horse)
Lineage: Eukaryota; Metazoa; Chordata; Mammalia; Perissodactyla; Equidae
Description: lncRNA (ENSECAG00000058928.1)
Source: RNAcentral